Molecule: long non-coding RNA, 124 nt
Organism: Xenopus tropicalis (tropical clawed frog)
Lineage: Eukaryota; Metazoa; Chordata; Amphibia; Anura; Pipidae
Exons: 3
Source: RefSeq, a predicted model, not a curated record
GACGGAGACGCUGUAGAAGGUCCAUCAGUUGAAUGCGAUGUAGAACCUCCAGCUCAGACUCCUCCAGCUGCUAGCUGUGAGAGAGAAGCUGUAGAAGGUCCAUCAGUUGAAUGCGUAAGUAGAA